RNAcentral lists this ribosomal RNA (253 nucleotides) under uncultured bacterium. RNAcentral describes it as "partial 16S ribosomal RNA". It matches the Rfam family "Bacterial small subunit ribosomal RNA", at positions 524 to 776 of the family's 1533-position model. The record is from RNAcentral. RNAcentral also lists the same sequence under 1 other name.
UACGUAGGGGGCAAGCGUUGUCCGGAAUCAUUGGGCGUAAAGCGCGCGUAGGCGGCCUCACAAGUCCGCUGUAAAAGUCAAAGGCUCAACCUUUGAAUGCCAGUGGAAACUGUGAGGCUAGAGUCCGGAAGAGGCGAGUGGAAUUCCUGGUGUAGCGGUGGAAUGCGCAGAUAUCAGGAGGAACACCAACGGCGAAGGCAGCUCGCUGGGACGGUACUGACGCUAAGGCGCGAAAGCGUGGGGAGCAAACAGG